GAUGAACGCUGGCGGCGUGCCUAAUACAUGCAAGUCGAGCGAACGGACGAGAAGCUUGCUUUUCUGAUGUUAGCGGCGGACGGGUGAGUAACACGUGGAUAACCUACCUAUAAGACUGGGAUAACUUCGGGAAACCGGAGCUAAUACCGGAUAAUAUUUUGAACCGCAUGGUUCAAAAGUGAAAGACGGUCUUGCUGUCACUUAUAGAUGGAUCCGCGCUGCAUUAGCUAGUUGGUAAGGUAACGGCUUACCAAGGCAACGAUGCAUAGCCGACCUGAGAGGGUGAUCGGCCACACUGGAACUGAGACACGGUCCAGACUCCUACGGGAGGCAGCAGUAGGGAAUCUUCCGCAAAGGGCGAAAGCCUGACGGAGCAACGCCGCGUGAGUGAUGAAGGUCCUCGGAUCGUAAAACUCUGUUAUUAGGGAAGAACAUAUGUGUAAGUAACUGUGCACAUCUUGACGGUACCUAAUCAGAAAGCCACGGCUAACUACGUG
Molecule: ribosomal RNA, 497 nt
Filed under: uncultured bacterium
Lineage: Bacteria
Description: partial 16S ribosomal RNA
Rfam family: Bacterial small subunit ribosomal RNA
Source: RNAcentral